RNAcentral lists this ribosomal RNA (2111 nucleotides) under human gut metagenome. RNAcentral describes it as "bacterial LSU rRNA". It matches the Rfam family "Bacterial large subunit ribosomal RNA", at positions 826 to 2925 of the family's 2925-position model. The record is from RNAcentral.
AUUCCAAUCGAACUUGGAGAUAGCUGGUUCUCCCCGAAAUAGCUUUAGGGCUAGCCUCAGGGAAAAGAUUGCAGGCGGUAGAGCACUGAUCAGGAGAGGGACCUACCCGGUUACCAAACCCAGUCAAACUCCGAAUGGCUGCAAUCAUACCUGGGAGUCAGACUGCGACUAAUAAGGGCCGCAGUCAAAAGGGAAACAGCCCAGACCAUCAGCUAAGGUCCCCAAUGCCGUGCUAAGUGGCGAAGGAUGUGGCAUUUCAUAAACAACCAGGAUGUUGGCUCAGAAGCAGCCACCAUUUAAAGAGUGCGUAAUAGCUCACUGGUCGAGAGACGCUGCGCCGAAAAUGUCCGGGGCUCAAGCACGGAACCGAAGCUAUGGCAUGAUAGCAAUAUCAUGGGUAGGGGAGCGUUCUUAUAAGGAAGAAGCAUGACCGGAAGGACAUGUGGACGAAUAAGAAGUGAGAAUGCCGGUAUGAGUAUCGAAAAGAAAGGUGAGAAUCCUUUCCACCGAAAGCCCGAGGGUUCCUGAGCAACGAUCGUCGACUCAGGGUAAGUCGGGACCUAAGCCGAGGCGGAAAGCGUAGGCGAUGGACAACAGGUUGAAAUUCCUGUACCGGAUCAAGUCGAUUGAGCGAAGGAGCGACGCAGGAGGGCACAUGAUCGCGCGGCUGGAAGAGCGCGUCCAAGUGCGUAUGUUGCCGCAGAGGAAAACCCCUGCAGCUAAAAGCAGAGACAUGAUGGGGAGUUAAAGGAAACUUUGACGAACUCAUGAAUCCCACACUGCCAAGAAAAACUUCUAGCGAGACAAGAUCCGCCCGUACCGUAAACCGACACAGGUAGGCGGGGAGAGAAUCCUAAGGUGCGCGGGAAAACCCUCGUUAAGGAACUCGGCAAAUUGCAUCCGUAACCUAGGGAGAAGGAUGGCCCCCGGUCAGUGAAGAGCAGAAACGCUCAGAGCUAAAAGGGGCGGCAGAAAAGAGGCCCAAGCAACUGUUUACCAAAAACACAGGUGCCUGCGAAAGCGAAAGCUGAAGUAUAGGUGCUGACGCCUGCCCGGUGCCGGAAGGUUAAGGAGAGAAGUUAGCGAAAGCGAAGCAUCGAACUGAAGCCCCGGUGAACGGCGGCCGUAACUAUAACGGUCCUAAGGUAGCGAAAUUCCUUGUCGGGUAAGUUCCGACCCGCAUGAAAGGCGUAAUGAUUUGGGCACUGUCUCAACGAGGGGCCCGGUGAAAUUGAAAUACCUGUGAAGAUGCAGGUUACCCGCGACUGGACAGAAAGACCCCAUGGAGCUUCACUGCAGCUUGAGAUUGAAUCCCGGUGACAGAUGCACAGGAUAGGUGGGAGGCGCCGAAGCAUUGCCCUAGGGCGGUGCGGAGCCGAUGUUGGGAUACCACCCUUCUGUUGCUGAGAUUCUAACGCGAGGAGUAACGACCCUGCGGACCCUCUCAGGCAGGCGGUUUGACUGGGGCGGUCGCCUCCGAAAGAGUAACGGAGGCGCCCAAAGGUUCCCUCAGGCCGGACAGAAACCGGCCGAAGAGUGCAAAGGCAGAAGGGAGCUUGACUGCGAGACCAACAAGUCGAGCAGAGACGAAAGUCGGGCUUAGUGAUCCGGUGGUACUGAGUGGAAAGGCCAUCGCUCAACGGAUAAAAGCUACCCUGGGGAUAACAGGCUAAUCUCUCCCAAGAGUUCAUAUCGACGGGGAGGUUUGGCACCUCGAUGUCGGCUCAUCACAUCCUGGGGCUGGAGUAGGUCCCAAGGGUUGGGCUGUUCGCCCAUUAAAGUGGUACGCGAGCUGGGUUCAAAACGUCGUGAGACAGUUUGGUUCAUAUCCAUCGCGGGCGCAAGAAGUUUGAGAGGAGCUGCUCCUAGUACGAGAGGACCGGAGUGGACGGAUCAACGGUGUCCCAGUUGUCACGCCAGUGGCACGGCUGGAAAGCCGCAUCCGGGAAGGAUAAACGCUGAAAGCAUCUAAGCGCGAAGCCAACCUCAAGAUGAGACUUCUCAUCAGCAAUGAGUAAGACCCCUUACAGACGAUGAGGUAGAUAGGUUAUGAGUGGAAGAGCCGCAAGGCUUGGAGCGACAUAAAACUAAUAGGUCGAGGUCUUAACUUA